CUUGUAAACAGGGAUUGUUUGGGCAUACUGUGUAUUAUCACUUUGUUUUUCCAAGCAGAGUCCAUGGCAGACUACAUCAGUCCUGGAAGGUGAAUAAAAAUACAUGACAGCCUGCUGUCUGCUUCCUUAGCCUCCCUCAGGGAUCUGAACAUACAGUGACUCUCAGCAGAAGAUCCUGAAUAUUUAUGAAGCCCUUAAACAAUGCAAGAACUGAAGAUAUUUUUCUAAAAUCUUCUUAAAGACUAAUCAUUUGAAGAUGAAGAAAGGAAAGAGCAACAGCACAAAACCCUUUGGUGAAUACCAAGCUUGAUUCAUGUUUGAAGUAGUUACCACAAGUAUGACAACUAUUACUCAGCCUGCUGGACCAGGAAAGAAGUUGCAGAAAUCUCUUGAGAACUCUUAUAAAGGUCAAUUACCUUAUUUUUAGAUUUUUGUCUGGGAAAAUGAGUAUUUUACACCUUCAACAGGCACAUGAAAAAUAAAUGCUACAGAUGCAGUUUCAACACUUAAGUAAGUGCUGAAAGAGGUCUGGAAACAGCUGUUUGACACUGUUGCACCAAGCCUUCCUUUAAAAAGGGCUGGAGUCCUGUGCUGUACCACUAUGAUGAUACGGUUCAACACCAAAGAGAGCUCAAAACACCCACCAACAUCCAGAGUCAAAAGGAAGCCAGAAAGCCUACAAGUUGGUACUGACUCUUUGGAAAUGCACACAGAGCCAGCUUGCUUCCUUUUUUAACUUUCCAUUCUUUGUAUGAUCAAAGUUUCAAGUGAAAUCACAAUGAUGCAAGUUUCUACUUAAGAAAUCCGAGAGGUUUAGUACUCCCCCCACCACCUCUGAACAGCAUAUGCAGUUAAAUGUGGGAUGAUCUUCCCUGCAAGUAAUUUCAAAUCCUCCUAUGCCAGAAUGUAAUUAUUUUUAAAAAGUCACAUUAAUCUUGAAGAAGAACAGAUAACC
Molecule: long non-coding RNA, 955 nt
Organism: Passer domesticus (house sparrow)
Lineage: Eukaryota; Metazoa; Chordata; Aves; Passeriformes; Passeridae
Exons: 3
Source: RefSeq, a predicted model, not a curated record